AGUGAACGCUGGCGGUAGGCUUAACACAUGCAAGUCGAACGGCAGCACAGUAAGAGCUUGCUCUUACGGGUGGCGAGUGGCGGACGGGAGAGGAAUACAUCGGAAUCUACUUUUUCGGGGGGGAUAACGUAGGGAAACUUACGCUAAUACCGCAUACGACCUACGGGGGAAAGCAGGGGAUCGUCGGACCUUGCGCGAUUGAAUGAGCCGAUGUCGGGUUAGCUAGUUGGGGGGGUAAAGGCCCACCAAGGCGACGAUCCGUAGCUGGUCUGAGAGGAUGGUCAGCCACACUGGAACUGAGACACGGUCCAGGCUCCUGCGGGAGGCAGCAGUGGGGAAUAUUGGACAGUGGGCGCAAGCCUGAUCCAGCCAUACCGCGUGGGUGGAGAAGGCCUUCGGGUUGUAAAGCCCUUUUGUUGGGAAAGAAAAGCAGCAGGUUAAUACCCCGCUGUUCUGACGGUACCCAAAGAAUAAGCACCGGCUAACUUCGUG
RNAcentral lists this ribosomal RNA (492 nucleotides) under uncultured bacterium. RNAcentral describes it as "partial 16S ribosomal RNA". It matches the Rfam family "Bacterial small subunit ribosomal RNA", at positions 29 to 507 of the family's 1533-position model. The record is from RNAcentral.